RNAcentral lists this unclassified non-coding RNA (191 nucleotides) under uncultured Sordariomycetes. Its description in RNAcentral is "sequence contains ITS1". Lineage: Eukaryota; Fungi; Ascomycota; Sordariomycetes. The record is from RNAcentral.
GAGGGUCUUCAGGCCUCCUACUGUUCUUUACCAAACCCGCGUACCUAUUGCCGGAUACUCUGUCUCUGCCUCGGCGGCGGCCCCAGGGGGGGCCUCUGCCCGUCUCGCCGGUUAACCCCGGCGGGCGGGUGCCGCCGGCGGCAUCCUAACCAUCAAACGUUAGAACUUUUUAUAUCAAACAAAACCUAUUA